This 921-nucleotide ribosomal RNA is filed under the name Salmonella enterica subsp. enterica serovar Enteritidis. RNAcentral's name for it is "partial 23S ribosomal RNA". It matches the Rfam family "Bacterial large subunit ribosomal RNA", at positions 1200 to 2103 of the family's 2925-position model. The record is from RNAcentral. Lineage: Bacteria; Pseudomonadati; Pseudomonadota; Gammaproteobacteria; Enterobacterales; Enterobacteriaceae.
CUGCGGCAGCGACACUGUGUGUUGUUGGGUAGGGGAGCGUUCUGUAAGCCUGUGAAGGUGUGUCGUGAGGCAUGCUGGAGGUAUCAGAAGUGCGAAUGCUGACAUAAGUAACGAUAAAGCGGGUGAAAAGCCCGCUCGCCGGAAGACCAAGGGUUCCUGUCCAACGUUAAUCGGGGCAGGGUGAGUCGACCCCUAAGGCGAGGCCGAAAGGCGUAGUCGAUGGGAAACGGGUUAAUAUUCCCGUACUUGGUGUUACUGCGAAGGGGGGACGGAGAAGGCUAUGUUGGCCGGGCGACGGUUGUCCCGGUUUAAGCGUGUAGGUGUGUGUUCCAGGUAAAUCCGGUUCACUUUAACACUGAGGCGUGACGACGAGGCACUACGGUGCUGAAGCAACAAAUGCCCUGCUUCCAGGAAAAGCCUCUAAGCAUCAGGUAACAUCAAAUCGUACCCCAAACCGACACAGGUGGUCAGGUAGAGAAUACCAAGGCGCUUGAGAGAACUCGGGUGAAGGAACUAGGCAAAAUGGUGCCGUAACUUCGGGAGAAGGCACGCUGACACGUAGGUGAAGUGAUUUACUCAUGGAGCUGAAGUCAGUCGAAGAUACCAGCUGGCUGCAACUGUUUAUUAAAAACACAGCACUGUGCAAACACGAAAGUGGACGUAUACGGUGUGACGCCUGCCCGGUGCCGGAAGGUUAAUUGAUGGGGUCAGCGCAAGCGAAGCUCCUGAUCGAAGCCCCGGUAAACGGCGGCCGUAACUAUAACGGUCCUAAGGUAGCGAAAUUCCUUGUCGGGUAAGUUCCGACCUGCACGAAUGGCGUAAUGAUGGCCAGGCUGUCUCCACCCGAGACUCAGUGAAAUUGAACUCGCUGUGAAGAUGCAGUGUACCCGCGGCAAGACGGAAAGACCCCGUGAACCUUUA